This 1956-nucleotide long non-coding RNA is filed under the name Xyrichtys novacula (pearly razorfish). Lineage: Eukaryota; Metazoa; Chordata; Actinopteri; Labriformes; Labridae. The record is from RNAcentral.
AACUCAGGUCCGAGGUAUCGCCAUAAGGAGUAAGACUAAACCACCAACAACAGCCUAACUCUGGUCACCUCACAGGAACUUUAAGAGGAAAUCCGCGCAUAUGCAACCCAUCCCAGAUUGAACAUCCAGUCUGCACAUAUGGCAGCCAUGUGUCCACGGCCCCUGUUUGCCCUCCUGACCCGUACACACACUGACGCCAGCGUGUCUUUGUGAGGUAACAGUGCAUUUCCUCCAAUAGCUCUUAGGGUUGAGGGGUGGAUGUCAGGGUUUGGGAAGGGGGUGGGUGGGUUAAAGAGGCUCUCAAAAAGCUCAGGAUCAGAUUGCAUGACUUAGCUUGCCCAAUGUAAACAGCACCCGGAAGAAUGCACGCUCACAGCUGCACACAAACAUUUUGAAUGGAGAGCUUGAACUUUGAUCAAUUGGGGGAUUUUUCAUCUGUCUGCCUAUUCCUCUCUGGGCUGUUUCUGCAGCGAGGGGUGAGAGUCAUGUAGCUGCUGAACACCUACGCAGCCUGUGAGUCAGACAGGCUUCUAAGCUGGGAAGAACCCUAGCACCAUUUUCUGAUUUGGUGGGCACAGACAUGGGGCGACAGAGGUGAAUCAAGAGACGCACAGGACACUUUGUAAAUAGAGUAUAUCUGUAUUGUUUGGACAUCUACACAACAACUAAAUGUUCAAAAUAUUAAAGAUAAAUUAAAUUAAAGAAGAAAAAAAAAGGUAAAAAAACGGCCGAACAGAUCCAGACAUUUGUCGGCAGUUAUGAAACUUUACCCCGACUUCUGGCUUGGGGGACAUUUUUUAUGGUUUGCAGUGUGUAGGAGGCACUUUAUCACCCUGUAGCUUUCAGGCAAUGAGAUCACUGGACCUGUCACCUUUCUUUUUCGCUUUGUGCGUGCGUGUGUGUGUGUAAUAUCAUAUUGGUCUCCUCAAAGUGUUUUAGUGUUCCUAGCAUCAUGCAUGUGGCCCCUGACUAAUGUGACAUUCCUGAGCCAUUACAAUGCUGCCAUCUGACAGGAAAAAGCAGCGCUCUGUCGGCUGUCCUUGCAUUCAGUUCGUGAGCCACAGCAGUAAUUUGAUUUUCUAGUCACGGGAAAUAAUGUUGUGCUGGCCUAAUUAUGAAGAAAAGGGGAUUUCCAUUAAUUGUGAUUUCUCACAAGUUAAUUAUAGUGGUCAGUGAUGGUGAGCACACAUUGCUUGUUAGUGUGGCGACAAAAACAAGAGAUAACCCAGGUUCAAUAGCGCAAUUAAAACAUUUAAAGGUUUGAACUUUGAACGAUGAAUAAAUCAAUUCAAAAUUUGAUAAAAACACACAAACCAGGCAUAGACAUGCAAUAGACACAGAAACAACACAAUGGUGGACCUCAGAAACUGGAGCAAGCACUAAUCAGAAUGGAUUUUGGGGAGUAAUCUAAUUGCAUAUAUCAGAUUUAUACUCCAUAUAAAAUCAAGGACAGACCAACAGCUAUUCUGAGUGAAGCCAAAACUCUUGGUUCUCCCUAUCCCUGAUGACUGGUUCUUCCAUUUUGACAGAUGGAACAUGGGUUGGUCUUGAAAACAUAAAUACCCUGUCUGUCAUAAUAGUUUUCAUCAUACUGCUUUAUAUUUUUUGGGGGAGAAUUUUCAUUUUAAUGGAUUUUGAGAGCUUUGUUAACAAAUACAGGGUUAGUUUUUUUUCUUGGAUUUACAGAGUACAGGAUUAAUGACAAUAAAAAUACAGAACAAACACAAAUACAAGGGUCCUGCAACUUACUAAAACAAUUGUCUGCUUCAUAUUGUCACAUCUCUGUUUUAUUUUAGACUGUUUUGUUUGGGGAUCGAGAGGGGGGUUAUCAAUUAAGAGGGAAGUAUAACUUCAAAAUUAAUAAAAUCUGCACAACCAGAAAACAAUUUUGUAUUUCAUUCUGUUGGGGUGAGACUGUGGAACAUUAUGGGUGAGGAGUUAAUACAAUGUCCAAAC